UUUCAUUCCAGAUAGAGUCAGGUUGACAACUGGGAAUAGUCAUCACAAAUAAUGACUGAAUUAGUCCUAUAAUUUACAUGUUGGGAAACAGAUAUCUUCAGAGUUCUCUGACAAGUUCUCAUGACCGAAUUAGAUUCCAGUUAACUGUAAGGAAGAAUGGUGUACUGUAAUAGAGAGGGGCAUCCAGCACAUGCAGCUAAGUGAGGGGAAAUUGGAAUGCAGUGACAGAGAGAGGAACAUCCUUAAUCAUACUUUAUUCAAUAUUAGCAUAAACUGGCAAUUAAACUGUCAUCCCUAAAUUAAAAUCCUAAUAAAAAGA
Molecule: long non-coding RNA, 319 nt
Filed under: Mus musculus (house mouse)
Lineage: Eukaryota; Metazoa; Chordata; Mammalia; Rodentia; Muridae
Description: predicted gene, 49160
Source: RNAcentral